GUUAAAAUAUAGGUCUGAGGGUCAUUUAUGCCUGCCCGUUCGAUAUACACAUUCCUUUCCAGAAGCCUUACAGAAGUUCUAUCGUGGUGAGUUCAGGUGGUUGUGGAGGCAGAGAAUCAGGUUAUACCUUGAAGGGACUGGCAUAAACCCUGUACCUGUGGACCUUCACGAGCAGCAGCUAAGCUUGAAUCAGCACAAUAGAGCCCUUAACAUUGAAAGAGCUCAUGAUGAAAGGUCUGAGGCUUCAGGACCCCAACUUCUGCCAGUGAGAGCACUAAAUGAAGUCUUCAUUGGGGAGAGUCUGUCAUCCAGGGCUUCCUACUAUGAGAUUUCAGUUGAUGAUGGUCCAUGGGAAAAACAGAAGAGUUCAGGGCUCAAUUUGUGUACUGGAACAGGAUCAAAGGCCUGGUCAUUCAAUAUUAACAGGGUUGCAACUCAGGCUGUAGAAGAUGUUUUAAAUAUUGCAAAACGACAAGGAAAUUUGAGUCUUCCAUUGAACAGAGAAUUGGUAGAGAAAGUAACAAAUGAAUAUAAUGAAUCACUGCUCUACAGUCCGGAAGAACCAAAAAUACUUUUCAGUAUUCGAGAACCAAUAGCAAAUAGAGUUUUCUCAAGCAGUCGUCAGCGUUGUUUCUCCUCAAAGGUUUGUGUUCGUUCUCGUUGUUGGGAUGCCUGUAUGGUUGUGGAUGGAGGAACUUCUUUUGAGUUUAAUGAUGGUGCAAUUGCUUCGAUGAUGAUCAAUAAAGAAGAUGAGCUUCGAACUGUGCUUCUUGAACAGUGAAGGAUUUCCUCAUGACAAAUUUUGAUUACUGGCGAGAAUAUUUUUACUUCAGAAACAGACUACCAGUCGUAAAGUGACAUUUUUUGGUUAUUGUUGAGACUGCUUGCCCGUGGGCUCAGAAGUGAGAUUUGCAUUAUUCUUCUGUUGGAUUCUGAUAGAAAAAAAGACAUUCACUGUAUAAGAAAAUGGAUGGACUGAACCAAUUAGAAUUGAUACCAGUGAAAUUUUUAUAUUGCUUACAAUUGGUAACCAAGAGUGCUGAUACCUUUUUAAAUUUAGAGGGGCAGGCUUAAAUAAAGGACUAAAUAUUUAGGAUUUGAAA
Molecule: long non-coding RNA, 1103 nt
Filed under: Homo sapiens (human)
Lineage: Eukaryota; Metazoa; Chordata; Mammalia; Primates; Hominidae
Description: HSALNT0086596
Source: RNAcentral